Molecule: ribosomal RNA, 650 nt
Filed under: uncultured bacterium
Lineage: Bacteria
Description: bacterial SSU rRNA
Rfam family: Bacterial small subunit ribosomal RNA
Source: RNAcentral
UGCAGUCGACGGUUGUAGCAAUACAGCAGUGGCAGACGGGUGAGUAACACGUGGGAACCUACCUAGGGGUACGGAAUAACUCAGGGAAACUUGUGCUAAUACCGUAUACGACCUUCGGGUGAAAGAUUUAUCGCCCCUAGAUGGGCCCGCGUUGGAUUAGCUAGUUGGUGGGGUAAAAGCCUACCAAGGCGACGAUCCAUAGCUGGUCUGAGAGGAUGAUCAGCCACACUGGGACUGAGACACGGCCCAGACUCCUACGGGAGGCAGCAGUAGGGAAUCUUGGACAAUGGGCGAAAGCCUGAUCCAGCCAUGCCGCGUGAGUGAUGAAGGCCUUAGGGUUGUAAAGCUCUUUCGCCAGGGAAGAUAAUGACGGUACCUGGAUAAGAAGCCCCGGCAAACUUCGUGCCAGCAGCCGCGGUAAUACGAAGGGGGCUAGCGUUGUUCGGAAUUACUGGGCGUAAAGCGCACGUAGGCGGUUUUCCAAGUUGGAGGUGAAAUCCCUGGGCUCAACCCGGGAACUGCCUCCAAAACUGGAUGACUCGAGUCCGAGAGAGGUGAGUGGAAUUUCCAGUGUAGAGGUGAAAUUCGUAGAUAUUGGAAAGAACACCAGUGGCGAAGGCGGCUCACUGGCUCGGUACUGACGCUGAGGU